Camelus dromedarius (Arabian camel) is the source of this 1408-nucleotide long non-coding RNA. RefSeq lists it as uncharacterized. NCBI's taxonomy places the organism in Eukaryota, Metazoa, Chordata, Mammalia, Artiodactyla, Camelidae. The transcript is spliced from 4 exons. The record is from RefSeq and is a predicted model, not a curated record.
GCAUCGGGGUGCCUUUCACACUUGAACGUGGGGUUGGGAAAGUGUGGUUUCCUCUUCUGUUUGCAGUUGGAAACUACGACCACAAAAUUGAUGGCCACAGCCCACGGGUGAACAUAGCAUCUUAACCACCGCACCCCACCAUCUUCACCCCGGGAGAGAGGCGUCGGGCAAACGGAAACAGAUCACUGAGAUCCUCGCAGCCACACGUGGUUUGCAGGUGCUCACAGGGGUGGGUGUUGUCACUUGCUAUUUGUCGCAUUGUCAUAUUCACUCAACUUGGUGUCAUUUGUCACACUGUUGUAUUCAUUCAACGUUGAAUCAGGGGCCCCAAACAGGGGGUCCCACAGCCAUCCUGCCUGCUGCCUGGCUCAAAGGUUGGCGUGACCAGUGCCCUGGCAUGGGAGGUGACUUGGGUUCCCACAGAGACCCGGGGCCCCCUGGCUUCCCCACCCUUUAGGUGCCACGUGCGGCCACUGCUGUAGAGUCAUCCCGGGGCCCGCUGCCCCCAGCCACCCCUGCAGGCCAGGUGGACUGUCCUUCUGGAAACAACCAAACCUGCCUGUGUGCUGGGCCGGCGCACGGAAACCCAGGUGAUGUGAGCGACAUCAGGGAGCAGGACAACUGAAAAGUGGCAAAAGCGACCCCGUCAGCACAGCCAGCCGGCACUCAGCGGUACUGAAAGAAGCCUCUCUUGGUGAAGAAGACCAUCUUGAUGAUGAUACGGAUGCUGGCAGUAAUGACACAAAAGGUGACAUCAACAGUAGCAAGCACUACCGAUGCCCUACAGAGCGUCAGCUGCAUCUCAGCCCAGCAUCCCCGUGAUGCCAGGUCCCAGCUGCUCACUGUGCCUUUGCACUCGGGGGAACUGAGGCUCAGCUAAGCUAAGCACCUUGUCAGAGCUGCAAAGCAAGUGAGCGACUGACUCUGAUUCAAACCCAGUCCUGUCUGAGGCAGGAGCUCGCCCCUUUCUCCGCCACGACAGGGCGCCUCCUCUUCUCCCGUGGUGCUCAAGGUUCUGCUGCCAGUCAGAUUUCCAGCUCUGCAAGCGUUCGAAAAGCUGAAUGCCUGAAACCAGUGUUUGUUUUGAGUGCAGAAAGUGAAGGAGGAAUUCAUUGUGCUGCAGCAAGUGAAAACCCGAACCCUUGAGGAGGGGAAAAAAAAAAACCCAACCAACGUGUAAACAGUGUGGAGAUUGAGUUUCAAAGCCCUUGUUUUCGUAAAGUUUAAUUAUAUUUCAACUAGAGCCAAACUGUCAAAACGGGGUGGUGGUGGUGGGGGGGUCUGCCUGCUUUGAAAACGCAUCAGCUGUCUUCUGUAAAAGCCCAUAAUUGAUACCUGAGGUGAAGCUGGAGCUGGGUGGGGGGACGGCCCCUCAGAUCGUGCCAAAGGCACUUCCCCACAGACCACG